Molecule: non-coding RNA, 34 nt
Filed under: unclassified sequences
Description: DUF805b RNA
Rfam family: DUF805b RNA
About the family: Bacteroidetes, Chlorobi (1 example), Proteobacteria. Lineage (Flavobacteria)
Source: RNAcentral
AAGGCGGAACCGAAAAGCCUCAACAGAGUAGGAG